This 85-nucleotide transfer RNA is filed under the name Felis catus (domestic cat). It matches the Rfam family "tRNA". From Rfam's summary of the family: Transfer RNA (tRNA) molecules are approximately 80 nucleotides in length. Their secondary structure includes four short double-helical elements and three loops (D, anti-codon, and T loops). The record is from Rfam by way of RNAcentral. Lineage: Eukaryota; Metazoa; Chordata; Mammalia; Carnivora; Felidae. RNAcentral also lists the same sequence under 4 other names.
GCCUGGGUGGCUCAGUCGGUUGAGCGUCCGACUUCGGCUCAGGUCAUGAUCUCGCGGUCUGUGAGUUCAAGCCCCGCAUCAGGCU